AUUAUUUGAGGUAGCAAAUUUCGUUGCAACCACGCACCCGAUGGGUUAAAAGAGAUGCAGGGGCUGCGACGCCUGCCAAAUAAU
Molecule: non-coding RNA, 84 nt
Filed under: unclassified sequences
Description: skipping-rope RNA
Rfam family: skipping-rope RNA
About the family: Firmicutes, Fusobacteria, AlphaProteobacteria, Spirochaetes.
Source: Rfam by way of RNAcentral